Molecule: long non-coding RNA, 587 nt
Organism: Chiroxiphia lanceolata (lance-tailed manakin)
Lineage: Eukaryota; Metazoa; Chordata; Aves; Passeriformes; Pipridae
Exons: 3
Source: RefSeq, a predicted model, not a curated record
GUUGCCCACACAGUCAGCUAUUUCACCCAGAAAAUCUGAAGGCCCUACAAAGCUAACCAGGUGAAGAACUCCUGCAGCUAUUUGCAAUGGAAAAGAGCAUGGAACGUGCAUGACAGUAAGUUGCUGCUAAUGCCCAUUUGACACAAGGAACUUUCAGGAAGAAGCAUGAAGUGACAUGGAAGUGGGACAGAUGAAGAGGCCCCAGGAAUGCUCUCUUCCUACUGUACUGGAGAAGCCCAUUGUGCCCAUGGCCAGGUUCUGUAUUAAUAUUUUCCUGAGCAUUAUUAUAGAGCUUGCGUGAUCUUACUUGCACUGCAAUGUACAAGUGUAGACUCAGGAUACCGUUUCGUUCACAAUGACGUGAUUCUGAUUCUGCCACCCAAGGUGUCUUUGCACCAGGUUUGAAGCCAACUGCUUGCGUAUGGUAUUUGGCUACAAAGAAAACAUGAAUUUGAGGUCUCUUUCUGAUAGGGCAUGCACUGUAUUAAUUAUCAGGAGACUCAUGCCUACAUAGCAAUACAGCUAUGUUUUUAAUGUAGAGUUAUCAAAAUCCAAAUUGAAAUGAUUACCAAAUGUUCAAUCUGCAA